GACCCAAACAUCGGAGGUCCCAAACUCCCCCACGAAACCCCCGAUAGAGGGACAAUUUUAGAAGGGAGUGGCAUGUAUCUCCGUAUAGGAGAUUUACGAACUACACCCUACUAAACUCGUCCGAGCUCAAGUGCUGAUGGAGAUCAGAGAUUGGGUCCCAAGGGCGGGGAGGUUGUGGUCUAAUCCAGGCUGGCGAAACCACUACAAGUAUUGCCUGUAUCACCGCAACCAUGGCCAUGAUACCGAAGACUGCAUUUAGCUUCAGGAUGAGAUAGAAG
RNAcentral lists this long non-coding RNA (278 nucleotides) under Elaeis guineensis (African oil palm). RNAcentral's name for it is "long non-coding RNA (EGUI_LNC042969)". The record is from RNAcentral. Lineage: Eukaryota; Viridiplantae; Streptophyta; Magnoliopsida; Arecales; Arecaceae.